AAGGUUUUAAGUUAAAUAAACUAAUAAUCUUCAAAAUUACAAAAAAAGAAAUUCUUUAAGCCUUA
This 65-nucleotide transfer RNA is filed under the name Papilio maraho. RNAcentral describes it as "tRNA-Trp". RNAcentral also lists the same sequence under 1 other name. Lineage: Eukaryota; Metazoa; Arthropoda; Insecta; Lepidoptera; Papilionidae. The record is from RNAcentral.